Molecule: long non-coding RNA, 660 nt
Organism: Pogoniulus pusillus (Red-fronted tinkerbird)
Lineage: Eukaryota; Metazoa; Chordata; Aves; Piciformes; Lybiidae
Exons: 2
Source: RefSeq, a predicted model, not a curated record
GCUAUGCCCAUCUGGGCAGAGGGAUCCUCCUCCUGGCACUGGUAAAGAUUGCCUGGUCUCUCCCCAGUCAACAAAGCUAAAGAUUGCCUUUGCUGAUUUCCGGGUGCUUGGCCAAAAGCUCAGGGAUGCAAAUCAACAGGCAAUGCCUUGGUAACUCCUUUACCUCAUCCUGGCUGGAAUGCCCAGGGUGCCUAUAUCUUACCUCGCCUACCCCGAAGAGAAAAGGCUGAUGUGUGUUCAGGGUAUGGACAGGUACAGCCAGGGAGGAGGCAGAGGCCCUCCCCCAACACUGCCACCGGACCCCUGCGAGUGCAUGAGAAUACACAGGGAGAAUUCCUGGGGAGCUGCAGCUGGACACCGAGCAGUCAACUGCGUAAAAGGCAGGAGGAAUGCCUGCCACAGUGUGCACUUCUACCAGAUUGUCAAGGAUGGACCUCCACCAGACUACCAGAGCUGCACCACCACCAGAAGAACCCCUGAUAAACUCCACGGAAGGUCAUCCCUGGGACACGCACCCUUCUCUUUCCCCCCAGCCCCCCCAAUCUGCGACUGGGUAAUAUGAUCCCAGCUGUUUGCCUUCCCUGCUUCUUCUCUGUCGUACUCUAUCUCUCCCUCUGUUUUGUCCAAUUUUAUCCUUUAAUAAAUAGUUUCAAGGUGAUA